Molecule: non-coding RNA, 44 nt
Organism: Echinostoma caproni
Lineage: Eukaryota; Metazoa; Platyhelminthes; Trematoda; Plagiorchiida; Echinostomatidae
Source: Rfam
CAAUGCUGACGAGUCCGAAACAGGACGAAAUAGCUGUCCAGUGC